This 795-nucleotide long non-coding RNA is filed under the name Ananas comosus (pineapple). RNAcentral describes it as "long non-coding RNA (ACOM_LNC020524)". The record is from RNAcentral. Lineage: Eukaryota; Viridiplantae; Streptophyta; Magnoliopsida; Poales; Bromeliaceae.
GUUUAGAUAUUAAAAUAGAACAUUUAAUGAUAAUUUAUUUACUAAUGAAAAUUUUUUAUGUGAUUGAAAAGAAGAAGAUGGUAGAUAAGGAGAAGAUUGUUGGAGGUUUUGAGAGGAUAUCUCUAUAUAAUUUCUUUUUUUUGAGAAAAAUAUCUCUAUAUAAUUCUAACAAUUGAAGUUUUUAAAGAAUAAUACUUGUUGUGAUAAAAAUAUCAUUUUACUUAUUUUCUAUUAAAAAAAUAGAUAGUACUCUAACAAUAACAAGCCAGAGAAAAAAAAAAUAUGAAUAUUAUUGAGCUUUUGAAAAAAUAAAUAUAAAAAAUUAAAUUAAAAAUAUAUUUACUCUCUCUCUCAUAUAUUUACGAAGUGUAUAAAAUUAAGUUUUUUUUUUUUGGGAAACUUCAAAAACCCCCCUUGUGGUUUCACGCUUUCUUAUUUUAAUACCCCAUAGUUUAAAGUGUGUCAAGUUAGUACCGAGUGGUUUCGCACUUUCUCACUUUAGUAUCCUGUGGUUUAAAGUGUAUCAAGUUAGUACCCUGUGAUUUCGUACUUUCUCACUUUUGUACCUUGUGGUUUAAUAUUUUAUUAAGAGAAAAAUAAACUCACAGGAUACUAACUUGAUACAAAAAUAAAAUCAUAGAGUACUAACUUGAUACACUUUAAAUCACAGGAUACUAAAAUAAGAAAGUGUGAAACUACAUGGUAUUAACUUGAUAUACUUUGAAGUAUAAGGUACUAAAAUGAAAAGGUACGAAACCAUAAGAAUUUUUAUGAAGUUUUUCUUUUUUUUUUUUU